This 241-nucleotide long non-coding RNA is filed under the name Sus scrofa (pig). RNAcentral's name for it is "lncRNA (ENSSSCG00040039412.1)". The record is from RNAcentral. Lineage: Eukaryota; Metazoa; Chordata; Mammalia; Artiodactyla; Suidae.
GUACUUGCAGAACCUAUUGAGUGGAUCUCUUCAAUCCUUUCUUUAAGAAUGAAGAUUAUGCCUACGACUCUUGCUGUGUUAGAAGAUAUGUAUGGAUAUAUGGCUUUCCCAAGCUCAAUAAUGUUUUGGUGUAUUACUUUUGAAAUCCAGUUUUGAGUGGAGUAGGGCAAAUCAUCCAACCGACCAGAUAAAGAAGGAACUCUUCGGACAUUCCCUAAGGAAGGGGGCGCAGAGACUUAUA